Patella vulgata (common limpet) is the source of this 401-nucleotide long non-coding RNA. RefSeq lists it as uncharacterized. Lineage: Eukaryota; Metazoa; Mollusca; Gastropoda; Patellidae. The record is from RefSeq and is a predicted model, not a curated record. The transcript is spliced from 3 exons.
UCAAUCAGCUGCUGCAGCUGAGCUGCAUUAGAUUUGUCUGUUCAUUACUGCAGCAAUCAACGUUGUUCUGGUUUUAUGGACUAAAAUGUUUUAAGUGUGUCUCGAACCUAUGCCACCGAAUAUAGAAUAGAAAGAUAUAAACUGUGGUGUCUGAUUAGCUACAAUUAAAUGUAUCGUUAAACUGUGCUAAAUUCAUAUACAAAGUAAAGUUGUCUUAGAUUACAAAGUUAGAGAGUUCUACUCCAGUUUGAAAUUCGGCCUUGUUUAAUUUCCAGAGUUUAUUAACGGUUUUAUUAUUAUUGAUAUGUACCUGUACUUACCUGAGAUCUAUUAUACCUAGUAUAAUUGAUAGAAAUAAAAUAGGUUUUCUAGGAAUAUUUUGGAAAUUUGCAAGAAUAGGU